CAGAGACAGUUAUGGUAACGCUAACUUUGGGUGUUAGAAAGUAGAGGCUUCUCUAUCACUGA
Molecule: transfer RNA, 62 nt
Filed under: Physidae sp. P3S_19
Lineage: Eukaryota; Metazoa; Mollusca; Gastropoda; Physidae
Description: tRNA-Pro
Source: RNAcentral